UGGGGAAUUUUGCACAAUGGGGGAAACCCUGAUGCAGCGACGCCGCGUGAUUUAGAAGGCCUUCGGGUUGUAAAAAUCUUUUCUAUGGGAAGAAAAUGACAGUACCAUAGGAAUAAGGACCGGCUAAUUACGUGCCAGCAGCCGCGGUAAUACGUAAGGUCCGAGCGUUGUCCGGAAUCAUUGGGCGUAAAGGGUACGUAGGCGGGUAAGCAAGUUAGAAGUGAAAUCCUAUAGCUCAACUAUAGUAAGCUUUUAAAACUGCUCAACUUUAGGUAUGGAAGGGAAAGUGGAAUUCCUAGUGUAGCGGUGAAAUGCGCAGAUAUUAGGAGGAAUACCGGUGGCGAAGGCGACUUUCUGGCCAUAACCUGACGCUGAGGUACGAAAGCGUGGGUAGCAAACAGG
Molecule: ribosomal RNA, 402 nt
Filed under: bacterium
Lineage: Bacteria
Description: partial 16S ribosomal RNA
Rfam family: Bacterial small subunit ribosomal RNA
Source: RNAcentral